UUUUUUGUGUUAUCUUUGUCUGGUUUUGGUAUCAGGGUGAUGGUGGCCUCAUAGAAUGAGUUUGGGAGUAUCCUUUCCUCUGCAAUUUUUUGGAAUAGUUUCAGAAGGACAGGUAUUAGCUCUUCUCUAAAUGUUUGUUAGAAUUUGCCUGUGAAGCCAUCUGGUCCUGGACUUUUGUUUGUUGGAAGUUUUUUAAUCACAGUUUCAAUUUCAGUUCUUGUGAUUGGUCCAUUCAUCUUUUCUAUUUUGUCUUGGUUUAGUCUUGGAAGAUUGUACUUUUCUAAGAGUUUGUCCAUUUCUUCUAGGUUUUCCAUUUUAUUGGCAUAUAGUUGCAUAUAGUAGUCUCUCAUGGUCCUUUGUAUUUCUGUGACGUCUGUUCUAACUUCUCCUUUUUCAUUUCUAAUUUUAUUGAUUUGAGUCCUCUCUCUUUUUUUCUUGAUAAGUCUGGCUACGGGUUUAUCAAUUUUGUUGAUCUUUUCAAAGAACCAGCAUUUCGUUAUAUUGAUCUUUUCUAUGGUUUUCUUUGUUUCUAUUUAAUUGAUUUCUGCUCUGAUCUUUAUGCUUUCUUUCCUUCUGCUAACUUUAGGUCUUGUCUGUUCUCUCUCCAGCUGCUUUAGAUGUAACAGGUUGUUUAUUUGAGCUUUUUCUUGUUUCCUGAGGUGGGCUUGUAUUGCUAUAAACUUUCCUCUUAGAACUGCUUUUGGUGCAUCUCAUAGGUUUUGAAGUGUCAUAUCUUUGUUGUCAUUUCCUUCUAGGUAUUUUUUAAUUUCCUCUUUGAUUUCUUCAUGAUCCAUUGGUUGUUUAGUAGCAUGUUGUUUAUUCUCCACGUGUUUGUGUUUUUUGCAGUUUUUUUCUUGUUGUUGUUUUCUAGUCAUAUAGUGUUGUGCAGGCUUAUUAAAGUGACUGCUUUCCAAUUGUGGUUUCCUCCAUCCUAGUUCUUCCUCUCUCUCUCUUUUUUUUUAGUUUAGAAAAGCCCUUUCAUUAUUUAUUUUAGAAUGGGUUUCAUAUUGCUGUACUCUUUUAGCUUUUGUUUGUUGGAGAAAUUCUUUAUUUCCCUUUCUAUUUUAAAUGAUAUUCUUGCUGGAUAGAGUAUUCUAAUUUGCAGAUUUUUUUCCUUUCAGUGCUUUAAAUCUAUCUUGCCACUCCUUUCUGGCCUGUAGUGUUUCUGUAGAGAAAUCAGCUGAUAGUCUUAUGGGGCUUCCCUUAUAGUUAUUAUUUUGCUUUUUUCUUGCUACCUUUGGAAUCCUCCCUUUAUCUUUAACUUUUGCCAUUUUUAUUAGACUAUGUCUUGGUGUGGGUUCAACUUGUUUGGGGCCCUCUAUGCUUCCUGUAUCUUGAUACCAGUGUCCUUUAGAUUUGGAGUUUUCAACCAUAAUUGCUUCAAAUAUUCUUUCAAUCCCCUUUGCUUUUUCUUCUCCUUCUGUAAGUCCUAUUAUUCAUAGAUUGGCCUGCUUUAUAUUAUCCCAUAGAUCUCCUAUAUUGCUUUCAUUUUUUUCAUUUGGUUUUCUGUCUGCUGUCUUGUUUGAGUGAUUUCCAGUAUUCUGUCUUCCACUUCACUAAUUCUUUCCUCUUCAUUAUUUAUUCUGCUCUUUAUUUCCUUUAUCUCAUUUUGUAUCUCUGCAAAUGAAUUUUCUAGUUUUUCCUGGCUCCUCCUCAUAUUUUCUAGUUCCUUUCUGAGGGAAUCUGUAUUACUGUUCAUAUUACUUUUAUGUUUUCACUAUCUCCCUUUUGAACUCAAAGUCUGUCAGACUGGAGAGGUCUUUUUCAUUUUGACUGCUUUAGGUGAAUUCUCUUUUUGCUUUAAUUGGGAAUGGUUUCUGAGCUUAUUCAUCUUGCUUGUGUUUUUCUUUUUCUGUGAAUUUGGGGAAGCCAAACUGUAGUUUGGCACAGUCCAGGGUGGGCUGGCAAGUGGCUUCCAGUGGGCAGGGGAGCCUGGAGCAUGGCAGGCUGUGAGCAGCUUCCUGUGUGCAGGUGGGCCCAGAGUGCGGCAGGCCAGUGAGCGGCUUCUCUUGGGUGGGGGGCCUGGUCCAUGGUGGAUGCCAAGUGGCUUCUGUCCAUGGAGGGUUGCAGGCUAUGCCAGGGACACUCUGCCCUCUUCAAGCCAGUGGGCAAGCACACACACUGCCACACAAAGAGUUUUCUAUGGCGGCCUGCCCUUCCUCCUCUCCCCUUCCCAGCAAUGGUGCCUAGUCUCACCUGCAUGUCUGGACCUUCACCCAAGUUCCCUCUGCAGUGUCUUUCCACUCCCCACCCUUUGCGCACCAUUCCCUAGCCUGUUAGGCUGUCUCCACACUGCCAACCCAAGCCUGCUCCCAGGGACUGACCUCCGGAGCUGAAGUCUUGGUGCCCAGCCCUCACUCCAGUUUCUCAGGCUGUGGAGUCCAGGCCAGUGGUUCAGAUGAUCUGUGCAGCUCUCACUGUUUUUUGGUUCUCAGACCUGCUGCUGUGCUUUUUUCUUUUUUAGGCAUAUUGGAGAUGCC
This 2480-nucleotide long non-coding RNA is filed under the name Sus scrofa (pig). RNAcentral's name for it is "lncRNA (ENSSSCG00040031519.1)". The record is from RNAcentral. Lineage: Eukaryota; Metazoa; Chordata; Mammalia; Artiodactyla; Suidae.